UCAUCUCCAGAAAUCAUCUUAUCUUAGUGUGAUGCCAUCCCUCUAUUUUCUAUCUACUUCAAUAUGUCCGGUUGAUCAUUUGAGAUGUGAGACAUCGCUGCUGAAGAGACAAAGACAAAAAUUAAGGAGCUACUGGGAAUUUGCAACACGUAAUUAGGAUCUGAUAACAACAUCUGGUCUAGAAGGCUAUGAGCUAGGAAGGAACCAUACUGCCGCAACUAAGCUCCUUCUCCACAGCUCCAAAAUGGCCACGUGGGACAGAGGGUA
Molecule: long non-coding RNA, 267 nt
Organism: Phascolarctos cinereus (koala)
Lineage: Eukaryota; Metazoa; Chordata; Mammalia; Diprotodontia; Phascolarctidae
Source: Ensembl